AGUUUCUCUGGGAAAGCUAUCGG
This 23-nucleotide microRNA is filed under the name Caenorhabditis elegans. RNAcentral's name for it is "Cel-Mir-22-P2_5p* (star (passenger))". Lineage: Eukaryota; Metazoa; Nematoda; Chromadorea; Rhabditida; Rhabditidae. The record is from RNAcentral.